Long non-coding RNA from Chelonia mydas (Green sea turtle), 770 nucleotides. RefSeq lists it as uncharacterized. NCBI's taxonomy places the organism in Eukaryota, Metazoa, Chordata, Testudines, Cheloniidae. The transcript has 3 exons. The record is from RefSeq and is a predicted model, not a curated record.
GAGUGCAUUUGGGCUAGCAAACCUGGGGGAGCUAGGAAGGUAGGACAAGGCUCAGGGAAAGGCAGUAAGGUCUAGAUGGGAACUAACCUUGACUGGCUGGCUAAAGGGUCACAGAGCCAGAACCUGGUGUAAGGGGUGGGCCCAUAUUCCACUGCCAGUCACUGAGGGAGUGGCACUAAGAGGCAGUGAAUGGGAACACUGCCUAGGACUGCUGGCGAAGAAAGACUUGAUACCCAGGAAGGGGAAAAUGCAUCUAGUGAUCUGGUCAGAGGGCUGAGUCAUGAAGAGGCAGCAGCAGCUCAUGCAGUGAGAGAGGGGCCACAGACCUAGAGAGAGAGAGGCAGAAGAUAAAAUGCAACUGUGGGAAGGGGUGUUGACCUCAUGAGCUAUUCCCCAGGACGACCAGGAGGAGGUGCCAUCCUAGUGCAAAGCUCCCUCCCGUCCAGCCAAAAUGCAUCUGCCAAAGUUAUCUCAUUGCCUACCAAUGAUCUGACACAUUUCCAUCAGAAAGAAGACUGUAUCAAGCUAUAGAACUCAGACAGAUGGGGUACCCUCCCAUCGCUGUAGAAAACUUCCAGUGCUGACUGACCUCUAGCAGUGUGCAACAAGCACAGGAAUAAAGAACCCAAACGUCGGGGGGGAAUCCUGAAAUAACAGGAACAGCUCCCAGCUGCUGCUGCUGCUGCUCUUUCCCAGAACUUGACAUCAUCAGCACAUGAAUUAGAGAAAUGUGAUGUUAAUCAUGACAGCUAGUAAAGUCUGAAUUCAAA